Molecule: small RNA, 75 nt
Filed under: Aotus nancymaae (Ma's night monkey)
Lineage: Eukaryota; Metazoa; Chordata; Mammalia; Primates; Aotidae
Description: Y RNA (ENSANAG00000004363.1)
Source: RNAcentral
GCAGUGGGGUUUACAGCUAACUGAUCACAGCCAGUUACAGAUUUCUUUGUUCCUUCUCCGCUACUGCUGCUUCAC